Molecule: ribosomal RNA, 468 nt
Filed under: uncultured bacterium
Lineage: Bacteria
Description: partial 16S ribosomal RNA
Rfam family: Bacterial small subunit ribosomal RNA
Source: RNAcentral
GACGAACGCUGGCGGCGUGCUUAACACAUGCAAGUCGAACGGAAAGGCCCUGCUUUUGUGGGGUGCUCGAGUGGCGAACGGGUGAGUAACACGUGAGUAACCUGCCCUUGACUUUGGGAUAACUUCAGGAAACUGGGGCUAAUACCGGAUAGGAGCUCCUGCUGCAUGGUGGGGGUUGGAAAGUUUCGGCGGUUGGGGAUGGACACGCGGCUUAUCAGCUUGUUGGUGGGGUAGUGGCUUACCAAGGCUUUGACGGGUAGCCGGCCUGAGAGGGUGACCGGCCACAUUGGGACUGAGAUACGGCCCAGACUCGUACGGGAGGCAGCAGUGGGGAGUAUUGCACAAUGGGCGGAAGCCUGAUGCAGCAACGCCGCGUGCGGGAUGACGGCCUUCGGGUUGUAAACCGCUUUCGCCUGUGACGAAGCGUGAGUGACGGUAAUGGGUAAAGAAGCACCGGCUAACUACGUG